GCCAACAUAGCUCAGCCGGUAGAGCAGGCGUUUCGUAAACGUCAGGUCAGGAGUUCGAAUCUCCUUGUUGGCUC
Molecule: transfer RNA, 74 nt
Filed under: Chloroflexi bacterium ADurb.Bin344
Lineage: Bacteria; Bacillati; Chloroflexota
Description: tRNA-Thr
Rfam family: tRNA
About the family: Transfer RNA (tRNA) molecules are approximately 80 nucleotides in length. Their secondary structure includes four short double-helical elements and three loops (D, anti-codon, and T loops).
Source: RNAcentral